This 497-nucleotide ribosomal RNA is filed under the name uncultured bacterium. Its description in RNAcentral is "partial 16S ribosomal RNA". It matches the Rfam family "Bacterial small subunit ribosomal RNA", at positions 28 to 507 of the family's 1533-position model. The record is from RNAcentral.
GAUGAACGCUGGCGGCGUGCCUAAUACAUGCAAGUCGAGCGAACAGACGAGGAGCUUGCUCCUCUGACGUUAGCGGCGGACGGGUGAGUAACACGUGGAUAACCUACCUAUAAGACUGGGAUAACUUCGGGAAACCGGAGCAAAUACCGGAUAAUAUAUUGAAAGGCAUGGUUCAAUAGUGAAAGACGGGUUUGCUGUCACUUAUAGAUGGAACCGCGCCGCAUUAGCAAGUUGGUAAGGUAAAGGCUUACCAAGGCAACGAUGCGUAGCCGACCUGAGAGGGUGUUCGGCCACACUGUAGCUGCAGCACUGCCCGGACUCCUACGGGAGUCAUCCGUAGCGACUCUUCCACCCUGGUCGAAGGCUUGACGGGGCAACGCCGCGUGAGUGCUCUGGGGCUUCGGUUCGUAAAACUCUGUUAUUGUGGAAGUCCUAAUGUGUAAGUAACUAUGCACGACUUGUCGGUCCCUAAUCAGAAAGCCUCCGCUAACUACGUG